This 173-nucleotide non-coding RNA is filed under the name Pseudomonas palmensis. Lineage: Bacteria; Pseudomonadati; Pseudomonadota; Gammaproteobacteria; Pseudomonadales; Pseudomonadaceae. The record is from RNAcentral.
GUCGGCGUCGUGACCCUCCAAUCCCAGGCCUAUACCCUGACUUCCGACCUGCCGGGGCGCACCAUCGCCUACCGCGUGGCCGAAGUGCGUCCACAGGUCAACGGCAUCAUUCUCAAGCGUCUGUUCAAGGAAGGCAGCGAGGUCAAGGAAGGCCAGCAGCUGUACCAGAUCGA